This 481-nucleotide long non-coding RNA is filed under the name Homo sapiens (human). Its description in RNAcentral is "HSALNT0026413". Lineage: Eukaryota; Metazoa; Chordata; Mammalia; Primates; Hominidae. The record is from RNAcentral.
GUGGGACGCAGAACCUGCCUGCUCUGCAGGUCUGAAGGAGAGACUGUUGAACUUCACAGACUUCCGGAAAAACAGGCGGUACCCUCCAUGGGACAGAACUCUGCUUACAAACUUUAAAACUGGAUGAUGCAAAAAUUACCUGCACAGCAGAGGAGGACAACGAACCAUAAAGGGGGCUCAAGAUCUGCAUAUUCAACAAGCUUCCCAAGGGAUUUUGAUGGAUUCAGAACCACCCUCUACAAAUCCCUUCUAACCACAACAAAAUGGAUGGGCUGAGUGUUCAUAUUGCCUCACCUUUCAUCAAAGCACCAUCUGGGAACCAGAACUUGGCAUUUGAGAAAAAUCAGAGAUGACUAAGAAUAAGAACAAUCUCAUCAGGAGAAGAGCCGUUGAUCUCCUGUUCCUCUUCUAGAAGAAUUGAGAACAGAAAGGAUCAUUAAACAUCACCUACUCCAAAUGCAUUCGUUUCCAGAACUCCACA